ACGGAAGGCAGCAGUGGGGAAUAUUGCACAAUGGGGGAAACCCUGAUGCAGCGACGCCGCGUGAGUGAAGAAGUAUUUCGGUAUGUAAAGCUCUAUCAGCAGGGAAGAAAAUGACGGUACCUGACUAAGAAGCACCGGCUAAAUACGUGCCAGCAGCCGCGGUAAUACGUAUGGUGCAAGCGUUAUCCGGAUUUACUGGGUGUAAAGGGAGCGUAGACGGUGAGGCAAGUCUGAAGUGAAAGCUCGGGGCUCAACCCCGGAACUGCUUUGGAAACUGUUUUACUAGAGUGCAGGAGAGGUAAGUGGAAUUCCUAGUGUAGCGGUGAAAUGCGUAGAUAUUGGAGGAACACCAGUGGCGAAGGCGGCUUGCUGGACGACAACUGACGCUGAGGCGCGAAAGCGUGGGGAGCAAACAGGAUUAGAUACCCUGGUA
Molecule: ribosomal RNA, 433 nt
Filed under: uncultured Lachnospiraceae bacterium
Lineage: Bacteria; Bacillati; Bacillota; Clostridia; Lachnospirales; Lachnospiraceae
Description: partial 16S ribosomal RNA
Rfam family: Bacterial small subunit ribosomal RNA
Source: RNAcentral